RNAcentral lists this ribosomal RNA (242 nucleotides) under uncultured bacterium. RNAcentral's name for it is "partial 16S ribosomal RNA". It matches the Rfam family "Bacterial small subunit ribosomal RNA", at positions 796 to 1041 of the family's 1533-position model. The record is from RNAcentral.
CACACAGUAAACGAUGAAUACUCGCUGUUUGCGAUAUACAGUAAGCGGCCAAGCGAAAGCAUUAAGUAUUCCACCUGGGGAGUACGCCGGCAACGGUGAAACUCAAAGGAAUUGACGGGGGCCCGCACAAGCGGAGGAACAUGUGGUUUAAUUCGAUGAUACGCGAGGAACCUUACCCGGGCUCGAACGGCAUAUGAAGCGGAGAGAGAUUUUCGCGCCCUUCGGGGCAUAUGUCGAGGUGC